UAUUAAAAAAUUCAUCUAUUUCUACUGUUAAAAACUGCGUUGUUGACAAAAUAACCAAAUAAUUACAUGUGGUAUGCUACGUGUGCCUCAUUCUAAUAUAUAGAGAUCAAUUUUUAAUAGUAGAAAUAAAUAAAUUUUUUUAAUA
Non-coding RNA from Gossypium hirsutum (cotton), 145 nucleotides. The record is from Rfam. NCBI's taxonomy places the organism in Eukaryota, Viridiplantae, Streptophyta, Magnoliopsida, Malvales, Malvaceae.